GUAGGGAAUAUUGCUCAAUGGGCGAAAGCUUGAAGCAGCAACGCCGCGUGCGGGAUGAAGGCCUUCGGGUUGUAAACCGCUUUUCUGGGGAACGAGUAAGGACGGUACCUCAAGAAUAAGUCUCGGCUAACUACGUGCCAGCAGCCGCGGUAAUACGUAGGAGGCAAGCGUUAUCCGGAUUUACUGGGCGUAAAGCGCGUGCAGGCGGUAUGGUAAGUUGGAUGUGAAAUCUCCUGGCUCAACUGGGAGUGGUCGUUCAAAACUGCCAGACUAGAGGACGAUAGAGGAAGGUAGAAUUCCCGGUGUAGUGGUGAAAUGCGUAGAUAUCGGGAGGAAUACCAGUGGCGAAGGCGGCCUUCUGGAUCGUUCCUGACGCUCAGACGCGAAAGCAUGGGUAGCGAACGGGAUUAGAUACCCCGGUAGUCC
RNAcentral lists this ribosomal RNA (426 nucleotides) under uncultured bacterium. Its description in RNAcentral is "bacterial SSU rRNA". It matches the Rfam family "Bacterial small subunit ribosomal RNA", at positions 354 to 796 of the family's 1533-position model. The record is from RNAcentral.